RNAcentral lists this unclassified non-coding RNA (296 nucleotides) under Hevea brasiliensis (rubber tree). Lineage: Eukaryota; Viridiplantae; Streptophyta; Magnoliopsida; Malpighiales; Euphorbiaceae. The record is from RNAcentral.
UACACCGCCAGCUGCCGGCUGUGCAGGUCCUCGUCGAUCUCCGCGGGGAUGUUGCCGUUGGAUACCUUGCCGUCGACGUCCAUGUUGCUAGAUGCGCCGCGGUCAGACGACGCCGGCGAGAAGGAGAUCGAGCGAUCUGACUUUGGAUUCACCUGUGAUGCCUCUCCCGAGACGUGGAUCUCAACAGCAGCGUAAGAUCUCUUCCUUGGAAGCAUAUAGAGCAGCGCGCAAUGGGAACUCGAGGCGGCCGGCGAUGAUCAGAGAGGAGGUGGGGGGAAUCAGAGCUCUCGCCGGCG